This 74-nucleotide transfer RNA is filed under the name Candidatus Micrarchaeota archaeon CG1_02_60_51. RNAcentral describes it as "tRNA-Lys". It matches the Rfam family "tRNA". From Rfam's summary of the family: Transfer RNA (tRNA) molecules are approximately 80 nucleotides in length. Their secondary structure includes four short double-helical elements and three loops (D, anti-codon, and T loops). Lineage: Archaea; Nanobdellati; Microcaldota. RNAcentral also lists the same sequence under 3 other names. The record is from RNAcentral.
GGGCCCGUAGCUCAGCCUGGCAGAGCGGCUGACUUUUAAUCAGUAGGCCGAGGGUUCGAAUCCCUCCGGGCCCG